This 489-nucleotide ribosomal RNA is filed under the name uncultured bacterium. RNAcentral describes it as "partial 16S ribosomal RNA". It matches the Rfam family "Bacterial small subunit ribosomal RNA", at positions 28 to 507 of the family's 1533-position model. The record is from RNAcentral.
GAUGAACGCUCGCUACAGGCUUAACACAUGCAAGUCGAGGGGCAGCAUGAUUGAAGCUUGCUUCAAUCGAUGGCGACCGGCGCACGGGUGAGUAACACGUAUCCAACCUGCCGAUAACUCGGGGAUAGCCUUUCGAAAGAAAGAUUAAUACCCGAUAGUAUAGUAUUUCCGCAUGGUUUCACUAUUAAAGAACUUCGGUUAUCGAUGGGGAUGCGUUCCAUUAGAUAGUUGGCGGGGUAACGGCCCACCAAGUCAACGAUGGAUAGGGGUUCUGAGAGGAAGGUCCCCCACAUUGGAACUGAGACACGGUCCAAACUCCUACGGGAGGCAGCAGUGAGGAAUAUUGGUCAAUGGACGAGAGUCUGAACCAGCCAAGUAGCGUGAAGGAUGACUGCCCUAUGGGUUGUAAACUUCUUUUAUACGGGAAUAAAGUGGAGUAUGCAUACUCCUUUGUAUGUACCGUAUGAAUAAGAAUCGGCUAACUCCGUG